This 1423-nucleotide ribosomal RNA is filed under the name metagenome. Its description in RNAcentral is "bacterial SSU rRNA". It matches the Rfam family "Bacterial small subunit ribosomal RNA". The record is from RNAcentral.
CCCCUCUUGGCUGACGAGUGGCGGACGGGUGAGUAACGCGUGGGAAUCUGCCUAGUAGUUGGGGACAACCUGGUGAAAACCAGGCUAAUACCGAAUGUGGUCUACGGACUAAAGCAGGGGAUCUUCGGACCUUGCGCUACUAGAUGAGCCCGCGUUAGAUUAGCUAGUUGGUGAGGUAAUGGCUCACCAAGGCGACGAUCUAUAGCUGGUCUGAGAGGACGAUCAGCCACACUGGGACUGAGACACGGCCCAGACUCCUACGGGAGGCAGCAGUGGGGAAUAUUGGACAAUGGGCGCAAGCCUGAUCCAGCAAUACCGCGUGUGUGAAGAAGGCCUGAGGGUUGUAAAGCACUUUCAAUUGUGAAGAAAGGUUGUGGAUUAAUACUCUACAAUUUUGACGUUAACUUUAGAAGAAGCACCGGCUAACCCUGUGCCAGCAGCCGCGGUAAUACAGGGGGUGCGAGCGUUAAUCGGAAUUACUGGGCGUAAAGCGUACGUAGGCGGAUAUUUAAGUCAGAUGUGAAAGCCCCGGGCUCAACCUGGGAACUGCAUUUGAAACUGGGUAUCUAGAGUUUGGUAGAGGCGGGUAGAAUUCCUAGUGUAGCGGUGAAAUGCGUAGAUAUUAGGAGGAAUACCAGUGGCGAAGGCGGCCCGCUGGACCAAAACUGACGCUGAGGUACGAAAGCGUGGGGAGCAAACGGGAUUAGAUACCCCGGUAGUCCACGCCGUAAACGAUGUCAACUAGCCGUUGGGCUCUUCGGAGCUUAGUGACGCAGCUAACGCGUGAAGUUGACCGCCUGGGGAGUACGGCCGCAAGGCUAAAACUCAAAUGAAUUGACGGGGGCCCGCACAAGCGGUGGAGCAUGUGGUUUAAUUCGAUGCAACGCGAAGAACCUUACCUACCCUUGACAUCAUCAGAACUUGUUAGAGAUAACUCGGUGCCUUCGGGAACUGAAUGACAGGUGCUGCAUGGCUGUCGUCAGCUCGUGUCGUGAGAUGUUGGGUUAAGUCCCGCAACGAGCGCAACCCUUGUCCUUAGUUGCCAGCACGUAAUGGUGGGAACUCUAAGGAGACUGCCGGUGAUAAACCGGAGGAAGGUGGGGAUGACGUCAAGUCAUCAUGGCCCUUAUGGGUAGGGCUACACACGUGCUACAAUGGUACAUACAGAGGGCAGCGACCUCGCGAGAGCAAGCAAAUCCCACAAAGUGUAUCGUAGUCCGGAUUGGAGUCUGCAACUCGACUCCAUGAAGUCGGAAUCGCUAGUAAUCGUGAAUCAGAAUGUCACGGUGAAUACGUUCCCGGGCCUUGUACACACCGCCCGUCACACCAUGGGAGUGGGCUGCAAAAGAAGUAGGUAGCAUAACCUUCGGGGGUGCGCUUACCACUUUGUGGUUCAUGACUGGGGUGAAGUCGUAACAAGGUA